This 211-nucleotide ribosomal RNA is filed under the name Scutulanyssus obscurus. RNAcentral describes it as "partial 16S ribosomal RNA". The record is from RNAcentral. Lineage: Eukaryota; Metazoa; Arthropoda; Arachnida; Sarcoptiformes; Pteronyssidae.
UAUGAAUGGGGGUACUGGCUUAAUAUUAUUCUUUUUUCUUAAUUUAUAAUUUUGUUGAAAAUAACAAUUGAUUCUUUAAGACGAAAAGACCCUAGAAUUUUUACUAAUCACAAAGAUUAGGUUGGUUGGGGAAACAAAUAAAAAUAAAUAAUUUAAAAUUUUUUUAUUUUAGAACUUAUAUUAUAGAAAGAUGGAUCUAAAUACUCUAGGG